AUUGUGUGUGUUCAGCGGUAAGGGAUGACGUAAGUAAAAUAACUCGUACCACCCUGGGCCGGGCCAUGCCUUGCCUCGAGACCAGGCCUGUUGACUUUACGUAUAAUUAUACCUCUCAGCUUUUGGAGUGAUAAUUAUUGUGCGUGUACAGUGUAACCUCGCGGACCCAUGGAGACCCUGGUAUAUUAUAACCUCUGGCUUGCGAGACUAUGUACAGUGUAUGUUAUAAUUUUGGCGGGUAAUUAUUUUUCAAGGGUGGACUCUAUAAUGCAUUAGAUCCCACUUGUGUGUGUUUAGCAGGGAAUUAUGAGCCAUAAUCUCAUAGUUUCCCAGGGAAUUAUAAGCUUGAGGGUAUAAGUACAAGUAUAAUUUUUUGAAUGUACAAAAAUGAUAAUAAAGCUGUAUAGCUGCAUGAUAAUUAGCUAUGGCUGUUCAGUUUUUUCACUACCAGUUUCUAUAGGGUUUGCUGGGUUGAUGGUAGAGUUCACCAGUAUCUUUUCUUGUCGAGGAACACUAAGAGCUUAACAGUUCUGGGUCCAUUGUCAGAAGCAUGAAAGCAUGUCUUCAACUUGUAGCAUUUGUCAACUUCGUCCUUCUGACUUCUGUUUCUAUCCUGCAGCCAUGUUUCAAAUUGCAGUAGACUCCUGUGUCUUUUUGGGAACGAUAGUGCACUGUAGCAUUGUGCUGCAAGCUGUUCCUUGCUAGCUAGCCGUACAUAUCAGAACAGUUUACUGAGAAGCUUGAGCUGGGGUGGGGCUUGAGUGCAGAUAAAGAGGAGGCUGGGCUCAUUUGUUGCAGAGCGCUUCCUGCACAAGGUGGAGUCACUUGUUUGUCCAUUCCAAUGUUGAAGCAAGGCCAAUGCAAAGGUUUUUUUUAGCAGAAAUCAUCUAGACUAGCUUGUCAGAACAGGACAUUUUCAAAAAUAAAGCUGUUGCUAAGGCUUGCUGCUUUUAUAGAUACACUUCUUGCCUGAGGCAGCCAAUGAAAAGUGGGAUCUAAAUCAGUUAGCACAUGUGCAUUCGGUAUCUAUGGUUAUAGUGUCCCUCAUCCCUCGGGCAAAGCCCUCGUGAUAUGGGACACUAUAACACAUAGAUACCUCAUACCCAUGUACUAUCUAUAACUUAGAUCCCACUUGUGUGUGUUUAGCAGGGAAUUAUGAGCUAAGCUUGAGGGUAUAAAGUACAAGUAUAUAUAAUUUUUGAAUGUACAGAAAUGAUAAUAAAGCUGUAGCUGCAUGAUAAUUAGCUAUGGCUGUUCAGUUUUUUCACUACCAGUUUCUAUAGCGUUUGCUGGGUUGAUGGUAGGGUUCACCAGUAUCUUUUCUUGUCUCUACGAGGAACACUAAGAGCCAAUGAUUUUAACAGUUCUGGGUCCAUUGUCACAAGCAUGAAAGCAUGUCUUCAACUUGUAGCAUUUGUCAACUUCGUCCUCCUGACUUCUGUUUCUAGCCUGCAGCCAUGUUUCAAAUUGUUUACUUCAGUAGACUCCUGUGUCUUUUUGGGAACGAUAGUGCACUGUAGCAUUGCUGCAAGCUGUUCCUUGCUAGCUAGCCGUACAGAUCAGAACAGUUUACUGAGAAGCUUGCUGGGGUGGGGCUUGAGUGCAGAGAAAGAGGGGGCUGGGCUCAUUAAUUUUGUUGAAGAGCGCUUCCUGCACAAGGUGGAGUCACUAGUUUGUCCAUUCCAAUGUUGAAGCAAGGCCAAUGCAAAGGUUUUUUUUAGCAGAAAUCAUCUAGACCAGCUUGUCAGAACAGGACAUUUUCAAAAAUAAAGCUGUUGCUAAGGCUUGCUGCUUUUAUAGAUACACUUCUUGCCUGAGGCAGCCAAUGAAAAGUGGGAUCUAAAUCAGUUAGCACAUGUGCAUUCGGUAUCUAUGGUUAUAGUGUCCCUCAUCCCUCGGGCAAAGCCCUCGUGAUAUGGGACACUAUAACACAUAGAUACCUCAUGCCCAUGUACUAUCUAUAACUGAACAGGCAAUUUUUGCGGUUGAUAUUUUCGCGGGUUGGUGCAAUUUGUGAAUUGCACAUUGACAAAACAUAAUUAUUAGCACUCGAAGAUAAUUAUACCCACCAUAAUUAUACAUGUACCAUAUAGGUAGAUAUGCAUGUGUGCAUGUGUGUGUGUGUGUGUGUGUCCACAAAGUUCCUUACAUCAAGAUAAAUUCCUUACAAAUGGCAGACUGUGAGUUGAGUGUGCAUUGUUUGCAUGCGGUUAUAUGGGUUGCAUGGUAUAUGUGCAUGCGCCCUUUAUGUAGAGAUAAAUUCAUUACACAUGCAGCGUCUGUUGUGUAUACAUGCAUGUAUAUACAUGUCCUUAAAGUUCCUUACAUGAGUAUAAAUCCCUUACAAAUAUGUGUGCCGAUCACACAUACAUGCAUGCAUGCAUGUGGGUGUGCAUGUGCAUGUACAUAAUUAUAUAUAUAUAUAUAUAUAUAUAUAUAUAUAUAAAAAUUAUGUCCCUGACAGUUCCUUACAUAAGGAGAAAUUGCUUACAAAUAUUAUUAUAGUUGCAAUUUCGUUGUAUAUGCAUGCAUGCAUGCAUGUGUAUGUCCUGAAAGUUCCUUACAAUAAGGAGAAAUUCCUUACAAGUAUUGUGUAUCACAUGUGCAUGCAUGUAUGCAUGGGUGUGCAUCACAUGUGUAUAUGCCUGAAAGUUUCUUACAUAAGGAGAAAUUCCUUACAAAUAAAUUAUGGUGUCCAAUUUUAUUGUAUAUCACAUGUGGGUGCAUGUGCAUCACAUGUGUGUAUGCCUCAAAGUUCCUUACAUAAGGAGAAAUUCCUUACAAAUAAAUGAUGGUGUCCAAUUUAUUGUAUAUCACAUGUGGGUGCAUGUGCAUCACAUGUGUAUGCCUGAAAGUUCCUUACAUAAGGAGAAAUUCCUUACAAAUAAAUUAUGGUGUCCAAUUUAUUGUAUAUAUCACAUGUGGGUGCAUGUGCAUCACAUGCAUGUGUGUAUGCCUGAAAGUUCCUUACAUAAGGAGAAAUUCCUUACAAAGAAAUUAUGGUGUCCAAUUUAUUGUAUAUAUCACAUGUGGGUGCAUGUGCAUCACAUGUGUGUAUGCCUGAAAGUUCCUUACAUAAGGAGAAAUUCCUUACAAAUAAAUGAUGGUGUCCAAUUUAUUGUAUAUCACAUGUGGGUGCAUGUGCAUCACAUGUGUGUAUGCCUGAAAGUUCCUUACAUAAGGAGAAAUUCCUUACAAAUAAAUGAUGGUGUCCAAUUUAUUGUAUAUCACAUGUGGGUGCAUGUGCAUCAUGUGUAUGCCUGAAAGUUCCUUACAUAAGGAGAAAUUCCUUACAAAUAAAUUAUGGUGUCCAAUUUUAUUCAUUGUGUAUCACACAUGGGUGUGCAUCACAUGUGUGUAUGCCUGAAAGUUCCUUACGUAAGAAGAAAUUCCUUACAAAUAAAAUAUUAGUGUCCGCAUUGUGUAUAAUUAUACAUGCAUGCAUGUGCAUGGGUGCAUGUGCAUGCAUCACAUGUGUGUAUAUGUUCUGAAAGUUCCUUACAUAAACAGAAAUUCCUUACAAUGGUUUAAUUGGAUGCAGGAGCGCAAAGAAAAUAUUAUACAGCUGUUCAACUGACUGACAUGCAUGCACUAAGAAGAUAAUUUUACUGGUACUUAUAUGUUAUGUGCAUGCACAUAACGUAUAAGUACCAGUAAAAUAAUUAUAUAUACACAUGCAUGCAUGUGUAUAUAUAAUUAUGCAUGCAUGUAUAAAUUAUACUAACCCUAACCCUCACCCUAUAUACAUGUUAUUUAUUGAUACACGACGAUAUAAUUAUAUUUUAUACUAUUAUUAGCACUACAUGUAUAUAAUAAUACACUGACUUUGCUAUAUUCAUUAUACGAUCAAUCGAUAAUCGCAUGAAUAGAGAAUAUAUAAUAUGAUGUGAUUAAAUGAUUUACUGCCAGAAAAAAGAGUUGAAAAAUCAACAUAAUGCAUGCACAUGCGCAUGCUAAAACGCAAAACAGAUUAUAUAUAUAGUCAGUCGUAUUUCGAAUUAUUAAGUUUCAUUAGUCAAUGCUUGAAAGAACAUUUCCAUUUCCUUUUGAGUACGUAUACCCUUUUAUACAUUUCUUAUGAAACCACCUUGGACAGAAGUCACACCCCACCCACUUGGCUUCUUGACCAUCUAUAAAUGGUUCUUUACAUACAUGGCACCUCGACUCGUCAAUCUUAGUGCGUUUUCUUUUUGACUUGUGCUGGUGAUCAUCCUCCAAGGCUGUAAUUGUUAAACACCCUUGAAGUUUGUUUGCAGCUUGUACCAAGGGAUCUGUAGGUGGUCGUACACGCUUCCUUCUUGCUGACCGUUUUGCUCUGGUUUGCUUCACAAUGAGUUUGGACUGGGUGUCAGAAUCUAGAGUAUCCUCUACCCGGAGAGGAUUCGUUUGAAUUCUAUCAGAGCCAGCAAAAUUUAAUUGAAGUUUAUGACACCGUUUUCUUCACUCGGCCUCUCCUAGAAUUUCAGUGCUACCUUGCGAACCAUGCAUGCACUCAUGGGUUUCCUUCCAGGGUUUUAGUGAAACAUACAAUGACACUCAUUCUCUCAACAAGGACCAAGCCAUGACAGAAAAGAUUGCAGCAGAUGCAUUCUACAAUGGAGAGAUUGAGAAUGAAAUUAGGUUUCUUGUACUAGCAACCAAUCCUACUUUUUCCCUAAGUCAUUUCACCUUCAAACGAGACAGUGACAGAGAGGAAACAAUGGAAAUGAUUGAAACAAUUCGCUCAUGCAGUAUAUAUACCCUCACUGUGAAACUGACUGCACUGCUGUUUGCAAGAA
Molecule: long non-coding RNA, 4778 nt
Organism: Halichondria panicea
Lineage: Eukaryota; Metazoa; Porifera; Demospongiae; Suberitida; Halichondriidae
Exons: 3
Source: RefSeq, a predicted model, not a curated record